GACGAACGCUGGCGGCGUGCUUAACACAUGCAAGUCGAACGGAAAGGCCCUGCUUUUGUGGGGUGCUCGAGUGGCGAACGGGUGAGUAACACGUGAGUAACCUGCCCUUGACUUUGGGAUAACUUCAGGAAACUGGGGCUAAUACCGGAUAGGAGCUCCUGCUGCAUGGGGGGGGUUGGAAAGUUUCGGCGGUGGGGGCUGGACUCGCGGCUUAUCAGCUGGUUGGUGGGGUAGUGGCUUACCACGGCUUUGACGGGUAGCCGGCCUGAGAGGGUGGCCGGCCUCAUUGGGCCUGAGAUACGCACCAGACUCCUACGGGAGGCAGCGGUGGGGAAUAUUGCACAAUGGGCGGGAGCCUGUUGCAGCGACGCCGCGUGCGGGAUGACGGCCUUCGGGUUGUAAACCGCUUUCGCCUGUGACGAAGCGUGAGUGACGGUAAUGGGUAAAGAAGCACCGGCUAACUACGUG
This 468-nucleotide ribosomal RNA is filed under the name uncultured bacterium. Its description in RNAcentral is "partial 16S ribosomal RNA". It matches the Rfam family "Bacterial small subunit ribosomal RNA", at positions 28 to 507 of the family's 1533-position model. The record is from RNAcentral.